GGAGGGGCGGGGAUAUAUGGAGCGGGCGCGGGAGGGAUACGACUCGAGCGUGGGGGUUUGGGGGCGCGGGGGCUGCUGCUGCUGCUGCUGAGAGGGCCGCUGCUGGGAAGGCUGCUGCUCCUGGCCGGUAGUACCCGCGGACGGACAGGAGGAGGUUCGUCCUCCGCCUGCGCCUCGCCGCCGCCGCCGUCGCCGGCUCCCCGCCGUUCCGCCUCCUCUUCCCGCGCCGCCUCCGCGGGCGCCACCUCAAGCCGAUGCUCGCCCUGAAGCUCCCGUCCAUGCUCCAGCCGGCGGACGAGCCGGUGCCGGUCAAGCCGAUGUGGAAGCGGCGUCAGCUGGCGGAGAGGCCCCUGGCGCAGCGGCAGUUCGCGUAGCUGUUCCGGUUCUACUGGGCUGGACAACGACACCUUCUACAUUUCUCUCUUCAAUUCUAAGAAUUUCGGGAAUUUCCGGUACUCUUGUAACAAGUGAAGCUGUUACGUAAGCUCCUGCUAAGUAUACACAUAUAACACUACCUUGAAACACUUCCACCACUUGAUAACCUGGCCUAAAACCGUUUUUUUUUGUCGGCGAUAUCACUCUUUCUACGACGACACCACCACGCCGUCUACGAGUUUCACCGACGACUCACAGUAGACGCACCCAAUCAGGUGGCUCUAUACUUCGGACUCUUGAAGGAAAAGUUUAGUUGGUUCCUCCUAAGCGGAGACUUCCGUUGUCUAAAACCAAACAGUCUAAAGUAUUUUGGUCCCUUCUUCAAGGCACUAUAUCAACCGUCACGGAUAAUACAACGUGGUCUUCAUAAUUUUGCAGCUAGACCUGGACUCAGGCUACAAACCUCGUAUCCUCAAUAUUGAAUGUAAAACGAGACACCCUCCGCGGGAAAAACCCUAUUUUGUCUCCUACCAUAUAAGUUCCUCCAAGAUUCUUUGUUCGGACUAAAAGCAUUCUCCGGAACCGGUUCGUAGUCAAGUUCACGAUUUCUAAAACAAUUUUUUAAUGACCACUUCUUGGGUUCCCGCUCUAACUGUCGUCGAGUUCGAGAGAGUGUAGGUACCCACUCUCUUCCUCCUCUACGUAGACUCUAGGGACAGCUAUAUAGACACAACAUGUUGUACGCGGUUAAACAGUUCAUGUCGGCAAAAUUCGUUAAACGCGACGCCCGGAAUCGUUCAUGUCAGUUACUCCUUCUCGAUCGCCUAGAUUUCCUGGUUAAGCUACGAUAACUACAACUAUUUUCACCUAGUUAAUCGUAACUUCUUUACGCCGUACGGGAACGCUUCCUAGAAGGAACCUCUAACUUCCCGGGAGCACAAGAGCUCUAGUAAGUUCGCUAGCUGUCGUUGUGCCUACCGGAACAGCUGAAGUUUCUCAAACAACGUCGUUGAGAGGUGUAUGUAGUCUACCGACUCGACCUGAGACUUUCCACCCCGGACGCGACGGUUCGACGAAAGUCGUUUAAGCUAGACCUACCACUACCUAUGUAGUGGGGGCUACUUGAAUCUUACGUGUGCCCGGACUUCCCUAGGUAGCUCGGUAACGACCUCCUCCGGCUGUAGCUGUUUCUACCCGCCUAUUCGGACAGGCUCAAGGCGUUCGAGGAUGCUUGGCGCUCGUACUCGUUGGACGGCUCGGGCAGGCCUCAAGGCUUAGGGGUCCGAGACACUCUUAGCUGAUCCUCGCAGAUAUCCCCCUCUACCACUACUCGUGUCAUCAGACAAAUAAAGAAGAAGAAAGCACGACAAAAGGCGCAAGGCACGCUACACUCCCAAAGACUAAACAAUCGUAGGUCCAAGACACACGUCAGUAACAUACCCAUCUGUUCAAAGUUCCAUUUAUAAAUGCCUCAACGCACCUUCCGCGUCUAAUGUCAAUUAAAGAACAUGUUGGAAAGGGGGGAAAAAAUGCCUUUUCAUGUAAAAAAAGAACAAAGGAGAAAGGCACAACGUUGUUUGUCCAAAUCUUGGGGGUUAAUAGGGAACCCUGUUCUCCUAUGUUUCCUAUACAAUAAGGUUACAGUCUUUCGUUUCCUCCACACCUCUUACGACCCUGACCUAGUCAAGUAAUUUUCUCGAACGCUUCAACUAAUACGACCACUCCGCCAGGAGCUCAAAAAUAAGAGAUAUGAACUUUUGCUCGACUGAUAGAACACAAUCUUUUUGACACCAAAUGGGGGAUAAGGAGGCACGAAUAGGCACUACGGCGAGUGUUAAGCACAUAUACUCCGAUCUCCCAUCCCUGGAAAAAAAAAACUUGGACACUUGUCAUCCUCUUGGAGGGUGACAAUACAAACAUAAUUUUACCACUAUAUGUUAAAUGUACCACAUAUAUGUACACAGUUGUGGGGUAAAACCCACACUCUCCCUC
This 2367-nucleotide ribosomal RNA is filed under the name Triticum aestivum (bread wheat). RNAcentral's name for it is "partial small subunit ribosomal RNA". Lineage: Eukaryota; Viridiplantae; Streptophyta; Magnoliopsida; Poales; Poaceae. The record is from RNAcentral.